RNAcentral lists this ribosomal RNA (500 nucleotides) under uncultured bacterium. RNAcentral describes it as "partial 16S ribosomal RNA". It matches the Rfam family "Bacterial small subunit ribosomal RNA", at positions 30 to 523 of the family's 1533-position model. The record is from RNAcentral.
AUUGAACGCUGGCGGCAUGCUUUACACAUGCAAGUCGAACGGUAACAGGGAGCUUGCUCCGCUGACGAGUGGCGAACGGGUGAGUAAUAUAUCGGAACGUACCCAGAAGUGGGGGAUAACGUAGCGAAAGUUACGCUAAUACCGCAUACGAUCCACGGAUGAAAGUAGGGGACCUUCGGACCUUAUGUUUUUGGAGCGGCCGAUAUCUGAUUAGCUAGUUGGUGAGGUAAAGGCUCACCAAGGCGACGAUCAGUAGCUGGUCUGAGAGGACGACCAGCCACACUGGAACUGAGACACGGUCCAGACUCCUACGGGAGGCAGCAGUGGGGAAUUUUGGACAAUGGGCGCAAGCCUGAUCCAGCAAUGCCGCGUGAGUGAAGAAGGCCUUCGGGUUGUAAAGCUCUUUUGUCAGGGAAGAAACGGGAGUGGCUAAUAUCCAUUCUUAAUGACGGUACCUGAAGAAUAAGCACCGGCUAACUACGUGCCAGCCGCCGCUGUAA